RNAcentral lists this ribosomal RNA (243 nucleotides) under Salmonella enterica. RNAcentral describes it as "partial 16S ribosomal RNA". It matches the Rfam family "Bacterial small subunit ribosomal RNA", at positions 1 to 240 of the family's 1533-position model. Lineage: Bacteria; Pseudomonadati; Pseudomonadota; Gammaproteobacteria; Enterobacterales; Enterobacteriaceae. The record is from RNAcentral.
AAAUUGAAGAGUUUGAUCAUGGCUCAGAUUGAACGCUGGCGGCAGGCCUAACACAUGCAAGUCGAACGGUAACAGGAAGCAGCUUGCUGCUUCGCUGACGAGUGGCGGACGGGUGAGUAAUGUCUGGGAAACUGCCUGAUGGAGAGGGAUAACUACUGGAAACGGUGGCUAAUACCGCAUAACGUCGCAAGACCAAAGAGGGGGACCUUCGGGCCUCUUGCCAUCAGAUGUGCCCAGAUGGGA